This is a long non-coding RNA of Pseudophryne corroboree (corroboree frog), 1396 nucleotides long. RefSeq lists it as uncharacterized. The transcript is spliced from 2 exons. Lineage: Eukaryota; Metazoa; Chordata; Amphibia; Anura; Myobatrachidae. The record is from RefSeq and is a predicted model, not a curated record.
GCCAGUGAAGGUCUAGUAAGAGAGGAGAGGUGGACGUAGUGCGUUUGGUGAGGAAGAUGAGCCGGGCAGCAGCAUUGAGGAUAGAUUGGAGUGGAGAGAGAUAACAAGCAACAAUGUCUGCAGAGAGAAACAAAGAAUUUAUCAAAGAGUUUAUUGGAACAUACUAACAACACCGGUGUUUGUGGCAGUCCAAGACUGCAGAUUAUUUAAAUAAGCACAAAAGGAAUACUGCAUUGGAAGCCCUUAUCCAGGUGUCCAAGCCAAAGGCGUUCACUACACGUCUAGCUUGGGCCAAACGGUAGAUAAAGAUACGCCUUUGUGGGGUUAAUAGCUUCUGUGGGAAAGGCCUCAAAAUAUCUGGAUGUAAAGCGAAGGCCUCAUCUCCAACAAAUACAAAUUAAACCCACCCUUUGUUUCUGUUGGCAUUUGGAGGCAUAAUCUGCCCUGUUUCAGAUGAUCAUGUUUGCUCCAAUGCACCCCCAUCAGAAACUUGGCCAUUUUUACCAAUGUCAACAAAAAUAAACUCAUAAUUUGCAUUCACAAUGGCCAUGAGGAUAAUACUAAAAAAGCCUUUGUGAUUAUAAAAGUAAGAGCCAGUGUUUGGUGGUUGCAUAAUGCAAACAUGCUUCCCAUCUAUAGCACCACCACAGUUUGGGAAAUUCUACUUCUGCUGAAACUCUGCUGCAAUCUAUUGCCACUCUGUUGGUGUGGUUGGGAACUGUGGAAACAGAACAAACAACAUUAAUAUAAAGUUUAUAAUAUUUUAACAGUCCUUUCACAGCCAGCCCUAUUCAGUGAUGAACCACCAGCCACACAGUCACCAACAGGGGAAGAAACAACUGUGCCUACACCCAGCAUGCCAAACACUCGUCCAACCAGGCCCACUAGAGGCAGAAGACGAAGCCGCACAUCUUGAGGAAGCCAUGACACCAUGACACACAGCAUUCUACAGUCAUGCAAAGAUUUCUUCACCAAACCAGCUGAUGAGUUUGAUGCCUAUGGAGUCACUAUAGCUGCAAAGAUGAGGAAUUUAGACCCAAAAUAUCGACUCACGACAGAAUGACUCUUACAUGACAUAUUUUGCAAAGCUAAUAAUGGUGAACUUGACGACAGUUUCACCAUUACUUCAAGUGGUCACUACAGACAAUCACGCAUGUUCCAGCCAACAUACCAACAGCAACAUACAAUGCAAACAUACCCAACACACAUACAGCAACUAAGAUAGACAUAUUACCCACCUUCAGCAAGUACUACACCUUCACCCCAGGAUACUGGGCCCACUUAUACAUAUCAUCAUUUAUAGGUUUUGUGAUUUUGUGUAAAACAUUUUAAUACAAGGAGCAGUUGCAUACAGUUAUGUUGACAACAUUCACAUGAAUAAAGUUUCUGUAUUCUA